Cyanistes caeruleus (blue tit) is the source of this 2306-nucleotide non-coding RNA. The record is from RefSeq and is a predicted model, not a curated record. NCBI's taxonomy places the organism in Eukaryota, Metazoa, Chordata, Aves, Passeriformes, Paridae.
UGCCGAGAGCGGGGACAGCCAAGGGGCCCUUCCCUCAGGCGCCCGGGGGGUUCCCUCGGCGCCCGCCCUAACGUGACCCUCUCGGCGGAGGGGCGGCGGUGGGUCCCCAGCGAGCCGGUGCCGUCGGGCCCCGGUGCCUCUGCCCGCGGGCCCCGUCGGGCUUUGCACAGCCAAAAAUUAAAAUGUGUGAUGAUGGUCUCCCAGACAAUUGGCGUAUUGGGGAGAAAUGCCUUGCUCCUGGUUUUGAAAAUGGAAAACUUCAUGAAGGAACAAUAACUUCUCUUGAAAAGGACAAGAAUGGAAAAUCAUUUGCUGUUGUAUCAUUCUUGGAGUCUGAAGAAAGGAAAGUACUAAUAACAAAACUUUGUAAAGUCAAAGACAGUAGAGGACCCUGGAAAAGCUUAAUAUUUGAUGAGGGUGAUCUGGAAAAGCCUUAUUUUCCUGACCGAAAUCUUCCAUCUCCUGCGGUUGCGUUUAAAUUGUCUGACAAUGGCGAUUUUAUCCCAUAUACAAUUAACAGAUACCUGCGUGAUUAUCAAAGGGAAGGAGCCCAGUUUUUGUAUAGACACUAUGCUAACAAAAGAGGGUGUAUUCUUGGAGAUGAUAUGGGCCUUGGAAAGACAAUACAGGUCAUUUCAUUUUUGGCUGCAGUGUUGCACAAAAAGGGAACACAUGAGGAUAUUGAAAAUAAUAUGCCGGAAUUUUUACUGAGGACAAUGAAAAAGAGCUCAGAUUGCAACCCCAAGAAGACUUUCCUCAUAGUGGCCCCUCUUUCAGUGCUGUACAAUUGGAAGGAUGAAUUAGACACAUGGGGAUACUUUAAGGUCUCUGUCUUACAUGGCAGUAAAAAAGACGAUGACAUGAGUCGCAUCAAGCAAGGUAAAUGUGAAGUUGCUCUUACAACAUAUGAGAUACUUCGCCUGUAUUUGGAUGAAUUUAACAGUAUAGAGUGGUCUGCUGUGAUAGUGGAUGAAGCACACAGAAUAAAGAAUCCAAAGGCUCAAAUAACUCAAACCAUGAAGUCACUAAAAUGCAGUGUUCGCAUAGGUCUUACUGGAACCAUUCUUCAAAACAAUAUGAAGGAACUUUGGUGUGUUAUGGACUGGGCUGUACCAGGACUUUUAGGUAGCAGAGUACAUUUCAAGAAGAAAUUUUCUGAUCCAGUGGAGCACGGCCAGAGGCACACUGCAACUAAAAGAGAGCUAGCAACAGGUCGUAAGGCCAUGGUGAAGCUAGCAAGAAAAAUGUCUGGCUGCUUUUUGAGACGUACCAAAGCACUUAUCAGUGAUCAGUUGCCAAAAAAGGAAGACAGAAUGGUAUUUUGUUCCUUAACUGAAUUCCAGAAAGCCGUGUACCAGGCUGUGCUAGAGACAGAUGAUGUAACCUUGGUGUUAAGAGCAGGAGAACCCUGCAGCUGCAAUAGUGGCCGGAAAAGGAAGAACUGUUGUUACAAAGUAAAUGCACAUGGUGAAACAAUUAAAUCAUUGCGCUUCAGUUACCUAAUGAUCCUACAGAAGGUUGCAAAUCAUGCUGCACUGCUGCAGAUGGACAGCACUAGCAAACUGCAGGAAGCACAUAUCAAACGAGUUUGCAGCCAGGUAUUUUCCAGUUUUCCAGAUUUUGUGCAGUUAAGCAAGGAUGCAGCCUUUGAAACAAUUUCAGAUCCAAAAUAUAGUGGAAAAAUGAAGGUCCUUCAGCAGCUUUUAAAUCACUUCCGAAAAAAUAAGGAUAAAGUUCUUCUUUUCUCCUUUUCUACAAAGUUGCUAGAUGUGCUGGAACAGUACUGCAUGGCAUCCGGGCUAGAUUACCGAAGACUUGAUGGAAAUACAAAAUCAGAAGAUAGGAUCAGAAUAGUGAGGGAGUUCAACAGCAUUCAGGAAAUUAACAUAUGUCUUGUAUCUACAAUGUUGAACACUAGGGAAAAAUAAGUAUACCCCUGUUGGAACUUCUAAGUCUCAUGAAGUAAUACCUGUUUGAGAAUACUUCAGUCCUGCACUGGUGUUGGAAAAUGCAUGAUUAUUUAGAAGAAGAGAAGAGAAAUUUUAGGCAUGCUUAGAAACAUUAAAAUAAUUCCUGGAGUUGGUGUAACUCGACAGGAGAAUAUCAAAGAUUUCAAUACCAGUGAUGCUGCUUAGCCAUAAGAAGGGAAACUAUAUGUACAGCACCAAAGUCAGCACAGUUCUGUCCUGUCUUAGUGUUCGGGAAUAAAUAAAAGCAGGCUGGUGGACUGGGUCUUAAUUUUGUUGGUGCCAAUGUUGUUAUACUGUUUGAUCCUACAUGGAAUCCAGCAAAUGAUCUUCAAGCUA